Molecule: long non-coding RNA, 914 nt
Filed under: Phascolarctos cinereus (koala)
Lineage: Eukaryota; Metazoa; Chordata; Mammalia; Diprotodontia; Phascolarctidae
Description: lncRNA (ENSPCIG00000014596.2)
Source: RNAcentral
AAGGCCAGGUCACUGCCCUCUCUCAGGGAGGAGUCAGACCUCUAGUCUAAGCUGGCCCUGCACUGAUGAGCUAAAAUGAGGCUGUGGCUGCUGAGUUUGGUGGCAGGGGUCACCUUGGGGGUGGCCGGGACCCCUCUGGGAAAAGUCUCAACAGGAAGAAAACAAGCAGAGGAGGAAAAGGCAGGACAGGACAAGCUCAAGAAAACAAAGAGAGACUUCUUUAUAAUUGGUGGUUACUCAGGAAUAACUGAAACAACAUCAAGUAAGAAUGAAGUUGCUAAAACUUCACUCAUUUGUAAUGGUAGCUGCACUGAAUCUAAGAUGCACCAUUUGGAUAGUUCUGAGAAAGAAAAAGGAGAAGGAAAAGGACAAAGAGAGGCUAUGAACAGGAGCUCGGAAAUGGAUUUUACCCUUCAGAAUCUAAAUGGCAGCAGCAUCAGAGAUCUCUGUGAGGGCUGCUGUGAGGAGAGAGAGAAAGAGGAGCCAAACCUAAGCAGGAAACUAAGUAUGACAUUGAAGUCUCCCAGGAAGAGAAGACCUGGCCAGUGGACACUCCUUAGGGGUGUGGCUCUCCCGCUUGAGAACAGUUCCAUCAAUAUGGUGAUAAUGUUUCAUAAUGGCACUCAUAUCGGCUAUCAAGAUAAGAAAGUCACACACCAGGCUGAGAACCUCAGAGAAGGGUGGUGCUCUGGCUGCUGCGAAGACAGUGAAACUGUGGUGGUCCUUGAGAGAAGAGAGGGAGAAGAAGUCAGAGAAGUGCCUCCUAUUACCACUGAUCAUGGUGGUCAGGUCCUAGGGAACUCUGGCUCCACAGAGAUGAGAUUUGCUCACCUCUCCGAAGUUUCCCAUGAAGCUGGAGGGCAGUUUGAUCUCAGCUAAACAGUGCUCUAGUCUGGGCCUCUACCUUGAAUAAG